Ostrea edulis (European flat oyster) is the source of this 1870-nucleotide long non-coding RNA. RefSeq lists it as uncharacterized. The record is from RefSeq and is a predicted model, not a curated record. Lineage: Eukaryota; Metazoa; Mollusca; Bivalvia; Ostreida; Ostreidae. The transcript has 4 exons.
AAGAAAACAAUGAAUGAACAGAGGAAGGAGAAGAACAAAGAGUAUGAGGCUCACAGACCUGCACGGAAGUUGAGUAAAAAUUGGCAGGAAAAUCGGCCAUGGCUUAAAUUUGAAAAUGACACAAUGACGUGCUCAGUCUGUAUUGAUUUUUAUAGUAACUUAGGUGCAGGUAGCAGCACUGGCUUACGCGGGCAGAACAAAUUUAUAACAGGCUGCACAGAUUGAAAGAUAAGUGCAGUCCUGGACCACGAUACCAGUAAUUCUCAUCAAUAAGCCAUCUUGUCUUUAAAGACAAAAACUAUGACCAGUGAAGACAAGAUUGCAUCUGAUGCUGGAAAGGCACUCGUUUCAUUGAAACAUGCACAAAGACAAAAUCUUAGAAUUCUUUUUAUCAAUACCCAUGUCAUUAUCAAGCAUAACCGACCUCUAAGAGAUUUCCCUUGGUUGUGUCAGUUGGACACUUUGAAAGGUCUGGAACUUGGUGAUACCUAUCAAAAUGAAAAGGCUGCCUUGGACUUUAUGACAUCCAUUGGUCAGCCUACUAGGGACCAAGAAGUUAAAUUGAUUAACAGUGCGCACUUUAUUGCUUUCAUGAUGGAUGGUUCCACAGAUAUUUCUGGCGAUGAACAGGAGGUGGUGUAUGUUAGAACAUCAGUAAACGGAAAGGCUAUUGAACAAUUUUUGGGUAUUGGCUCCCCACAAAAUACAUGCUCAAAGGAUCUGAAAGAUUUCGCCGUCAGUAUGUUUGAUUCAUGUGGACUUGAUAAAGGUAAACUUGUAGCCAUGGGCUCAAACGGAGCAUCAAAUAUGGUUGGGAAACGAUCAGGGUUGGCUAUCUUGUUACAACAAGAUAUAAAUGAUGAAAUUAUCAAUAUGCACUGCUUUGCGCACCGCCUUGAGUUGGCAUUUAGGGAUGUGCUAAAAACAAAAACAAAAGCUGUAUGACAAACUAAUGACACUGCUAAUCGGCCUUUACUAUUUCUACAUGAAGUCUUACAAAAUAAAGAAAGGUCUGCUUGAUACAAUAAAAUCAUUGGAGAUUGAUGGCAUUUUACCAGAAAAGGUAACAGGGACACGUUGGUUGCCUCAUCUGACAAGAGCAAUAGACUGCUUAAUCAGAAACUAUACUGCAUACGAAGCUCAUUUAUGCAGCCUAAGUCACACAAACUCCAAAGCAGAGGGACUUGUAAAGAUUAUGCUGUCUAAAGAUGUUGUUUGCUUUGUUCUAUUCCUCAAGGAGGUACUGAAGCCACUUCAAAAACUCUCCCUACAGAUACAGAAACCUGAAUCUAAUGUAGCGGAUGCUGUCUGACGUGUUUCAUACCGAUUGUUAAGCCGUUCUUGGCACACUGAUUUUGACUGCGGAUAACUCCGUUUACCUGAUCAGGAUAUAGGGCUCACGGCGGGUGUGACCGGUCAACAGGGGAUGCUUACUCCUCCUAGGCACCUGAUCCCACCUCUGGUGUGUCCGGGGAUCCUUGUUUGCCCAACUAUCCAUUUUGUAUUGCUUAUAGGAGUUAUGAGAUUGAUCACUGUUCGUUAUCUUCACCUUGCAUUCACUGGGUGGAAGCAACAGUGGAACUAACACAGGAAUGCAAGAUGAUCAUGAGAUUAUGCUGUUCAUGAAGUAACAGUAGUUGCUAAUCACAUUAGUAAAACCCUGAAGAAUGCCAAUCCAAACUUCAGCACAGAGGAAGCAUUGGAUGAGUUAAAACUGAUGAAAAAAGUUUUGUACAAAGGGGUUUUCAUUAAAAUAUGCAUAUGGUAUUUAAAACUAUAUAUGGAGACAGGAACGCAUCCUGAAUAUUUUAUUUCUUCAAAGUGAAAUAUAAUAAGAUUAAUGCAAAUCUUUUAGUCUUACACUUUUUUC